UACGUAGGGACCAAGCGUUGUCCGGAAUCAUUGGGCGUAAAGAGCGUGUAGGCGGCUUGUUAAGUCUUGCGUGAAAUCUCGGGCUCAACCCCGAGCGGUCGUGAGAAACUGGCAGGCUAGAGUGCGGGAGAGGAGAGUGGAAUUCCUGGUGUAGCGGUGAAAUGCGCAGAUAUCAGGAGGAACACCGAUGGCGAAGGCAGGUCUCUGGGCAUUAACUGACGCUGAGGAGCGAAAGCAUGGGGAGCGAACAGG
RNAcentral lists this ribosomal RNA (252 nucleotides) under uncultured bacterium. RNAcentral's name for it is "partial 16S ribosomal RNA". It matches the Rfam family "Bacterial small subunit ribosomal RNA", at positions 524 to 776 of the family's 1533-position model. The record is from RNAcentral.